UUGAAAUACUAUUUUCUCUCAUGUCUCCUUCCUCUAGCAAACAGAGGCAACAUUACUACUUAGGAAAAGUAAGUGGGUGCCAUUUCUUUUCAUCGAUGAUGAUUUGUGAGAUUUUCUUCACUCUCUCCUUCACUCAGCCCUAGGUUCUUUUCCUGGAGUUUCUGUUUCAUGGCCCUGAGAUUACUUCCUCAUUUUCGUAGAUAUGUACAGUAAUAUUUCACUUCCACUUUGUUUCCAGAUGAGAAUGGAGGAGUUUAGUCUUAAGAAAAACUAGGCCUGUUCCACAUGACCUUGGACAGUCUAAAGCAGCCACAGAGCACUGGUAGUUGAGAAAUCAGUAAUGGGACCAUAUCAAAUCCAGUCAAAGUUUUGACCCUGAAAUGGUAAUGAAUUCAUUUCUUCCCAAGGUUUCUGGGAGUGGUAGCUUUGUAAACCCAAUCUUUUCCUUUGGUACUUGGUGCUUUAAUUAAGGCAUGUGAAUCAACUAUGAAAUUAAGAACAGAUAUACUAUGUAGACUCAAUCUAUUUAUUAGCCACUACUGAUGGUAUUCUUGCUAACGACAGGAACAGUGUUAUAGUGUCCCCCACAUUCACACACAUCAACAAGCACAUUAAAGCAAGUUCCUGAAAUCAGAUUCUUCCCUCAUGCUUCUUUCCACUCAGUCAUACAAAGCCUACAACUGACAGAAAAGAGGACAGAAUGAGCCUGUUUGAGGUCAAUGCCAGGCAGGCAUGGCUGAAGGGAAAAUUCUGUUGCCACAGCCAGUAACUUCUGUGUUCUGUGCUUCCCCCCUGAGCGCCCCAGCCACAUCCUCCUAGGCCCUCAAACCACAGGCCUCUGCAUCAGGAAAUGUGGUCAGGACUCUCUCACAGACACUAUGGCUGAGCACAAAGGGCAGAAAUGAAACUGCUGGGGCUUGAGAGGGCAGAGCUGUGCCCCUCAGAGCAAGAGAGCCCUGUGCCCUAUCUUCUUUCCCACCUCAGCGGACAGUGCAAAGACAACCUCCCCUGCCACACUGCUUGGAGUGAGACCCACCUCCCACCCCAAUCCCCCUCACCACCUAGUCCUUACUAAUGGUCUGAGGAGACAUUUUGGGUAGGUGGUUUAGAUGGGAAGGCAACCUCCUCAGCAUUGAGAAAUGUGUGUUCCGUGAAGCAACCUCUCACACUAUUAAGAAUAACCAACCACUCACAAAGCACUUAAAUCUCACCACAACCAUAGGAAAUGGGUAUUGUUAUUACUCUUAUUCCACUGAUGAGGAAACUGAGGUCCAGAUAGGUUAAAUAACUUCUCAGAUGACAAACAGCUUGUCAGUAAUAAAGCCAAGAUUUGAAUCCAGGCAGUGAAGUGUGAAUCUGCACUUUUAACUGCCUUUAAGCAAAAGAUAAGUAAAUGCACACUGAGUCUGUAAGUCUGCACAGCCAGUCAGAAUUUGUGUCUGACCCGUAUGGAGCAUGAGGUGAAAUUAGAGGAUGAAGUUUCUUUCUCAUAGAAGCAAUGCUUACAGGUGAAGAUCAGAACUGAAUAAUUUGAACCAGUAGAAAUUCCUUCCAUAGGUGAGAUGGCCUUCAAGAGAAACAGGAAGAUUACCUUCCUUUAACAUGGAUCCGUGUGCUACAACAAUGGACGUCUGCGUUAAGGCUUAUCUAGCCCUCCGUCAUCACACAAACCUGCUGAUCAUUCUGUUCUCCAUGAUGCUGAUGACGGGCAUGCCCCAGUUAACAAGCAAAGAGGACAUUGAAUACAUUCGGGAUGCCCUAACAGUGGGGAAAAAUGAGGAGGAUGCUAAAAAGUAUUUUCUUGAUCAGAUUGAAGUUUGCAGAGACAAAGGGUGGACUGUGCAGUUUAACUGGUUCCUACAUCUUGUUCUUGGCAUCAAACAAGGAGAGAAACAUUCAGCCUAAUACUCUGCACUAGAAUCCAAAAGCCAGUGUCCUAAAGCUUUAAAUGAGCAGCAUGUCAGUCAUCAGACUUGGAUUUAAAAUGUAAUCGGACAUUACUAAAAGCUGGUGCUUCAAGAGCUAGAACUCUUUCCCUAGCCCAGAUCUUCACUGGAGACAAAUAUUGGCAUGUCUGACUGUUUAAGGAAUGUUUGGUUUUAGGCUUAUUUGCAGGUUUGUUUUUACUCAUUUGCCUCAGUGAUGUUGGAGAACAUUCUAAGUUUAAACAGACUAAUGACUUCCUCAUUGUGCCUGAUGUUUUGACUAUCCUAUUAUUGAGUGCUUCUAGAAAUUCUUUAGAAUAGUUGGUGGCAUCUAUUUGCAUCUGGAUUUACUCUCAACUUUGGUUAUCAUUGUGUUGCUUAAGCUGUUUUCAGAAAAAGAUGUGACCAUUGUAAUCUCUGUCUCAUUCCCCAACUGAUGCUUCCAAACAUCCCCCUCUCUAUCCAGAGAGGCCAAUGAUGUGCUAAAAGCAAGGAGAGCCAGUUAGUCUUUUCAGUGUCUUUCGUAAAUGGUUCUUUAAUAGUGUACAACGGAGACACACAAAAACAAAAUGAAAAAUCUGAACCUCUGUGCCCUGGCUUUUCUCUGCUGGUCUGGUUCCCAGCUUACAAAGAGGAAAAAUAGAGAUGAAACCAUUUGUCUCAACCUUGCCCACAGAGGGAACUAUGAAGGACAAUUAUCACAGCCUUCUCCAGCACAGAAACACAAAGUAACUAAAGGGACUCAUGUUUUGUCUUUGGAUUUUCCUCCCUUCUACCUCAAUUGCCACAUUCCCACAACUCUUUACCCAGAGUCGUGAAAUUUACAAGAACACCUUUACCCUAGAACUCAAAAAGCAGUUGAAAAAGAAUUUCUCCUCUAGGGUUACUAGAAUUUUAGGUACUUACUUGUAAAGAUGUUAGGGGAGUUUUUAAAAAGUACAUUAUUAAAGGAGACACUCUAGAAAGUAUGGAGUAGUUUUCAAAUGCCUUAAUUUUAGAUUCUGGUCUGAACAGUUUGUUUCUUAAUGGAAGAAGAUAUAUGCUAUCUAAAAAGUACUUCAAGUUAGGAAGAACACUACUGGACACCUCUCAGUUUAGAGGACUUUUAAACUUUGAUACAUUCUUCCAAUUUCCUAAACAUUGAAAUAUCUUUAAAAACUAUUUUCAUUGCUUACAUAUUUUGCUAUUCAUUGGAGUGUUCUUUAAUCUUAGAGAAAGAUUAUUAUUUAUAAAACAUUUAAAAAUCACCUAUAGUUACUACUUUAUAUAGAAAUAACUCUAUUAAUGGUGUCCAUGUUUAAGGGUAAUCAGAUGUAAAUAUAUACUUCAUUCAAAACUUUUCUGAAUAGAUAGAUGCCUGUUUGACUUGUGUAGCACACACAUUUCUUUCUUACACAUGUAAAAGACCUUCCAAGGUGUAGGUAACACUGCUUCCUUGGCUACUGAGCCCUUCCCCUGGCUCAUAAGAUAGCUAGAAGAACUCCUCUUCCUUUUAAAAUCACUCUAUAUCUCCCUGUACAGAGGACCAUGCCCUGCAGUGGAAUGUAUAAUCCUCUGUAUUAAUUUAGGGUAAACAUGGCACUUUCAGACCAACUAUUCCUUACUAUCCUUUUGAAUAAGAACAGGAAGAAUGACAUGUUCUAAUUCAGAAGAGGAUGUUUUCAUUAUUCUUAUAAAGAAUAGCUAAACUCAGAUCUUGCACUGAUUCUGCAUUUUAUUUGAAUUGCUGAAAUAAUCAUCUUAAUGAUAGAAGAAUUCAGAGGACUGUAUUUAUAUUUAGCUUACUGGCACAUGUGCAUACCUAUUUGCUCUUCAAAUGAACAAGUUCUUUCUUUAGGCUGAUUUAUAUUUAUCGCAUUAGGCUUGAUUUCUCCCAUAUUCCAAUGAAGGUAUAAUUUUAGCUCUAUAGGCUUGCAGAUAAACAAAAAUUACCUCUGUAUGCUUUCUUCCUUCCUUAUUCCUAGUGCAUCACAUGACCCAAACUUUUCUAUCUUUGAAAUUAUUCUAGAACUAGGGUAAGAGAUCACAAGUCAGAUGAUUCAGGUCUUUUAUGUAUAUCUAGGACUGGUUAUGAAAUUUGAGGGGCCCAGUGAAAAAUGAAAAUGUGGAGCCUGUUGUUCAAAAAUUAUUAAGAAAUUCAAGAUGGCAUCAGCAGAGCAUUAAGCCAAUCACAAGACCCUUCUGAGUGUGGGUCACUGCACAGGUCACGAGCCCCUGCAGCUGUAUGUAUCUGAAUAAUGCCUCUAAGUGCUCAGUUUUCUAUCUAGACCAUGUCUAUGUGGGUUCAGAUAAAGUGCCAAAUCAAAAUGUUCCUUCUGUUCAGACUGAAAUACUUCAUCUCUGUGGUUGUACAUUAGGACUUAAAACACUGGCCCGUUGCUUUUGGACUGGAACUAUGACCAAUAAAAGUAAAAUAAAGCAGGUGUUUUGGACCUAGCCUCAGGUGACUGACCAUCCUUGGUGAAAGUAGGAGGAGCAGAGACAUUGUAGAUAAAAUUUACCAAUUCCUAGAGGAAAUUCUUGACUUUUAGCAAAGUAACUUCAUUAAAUAUAUCUUUCACAGGAGAUGAACUUUUUUAAAAGAAAAGUUAGAUAUAGGAAUUCUGCAGCAUAAUUUGGAGGCUCUUAGUCCUAUUUAAAUGGAAAUUAAUUAUUUUUGAAAUGAGUCAAAAUAUAACUUAGUUUCUGGAGCAGAUUCUGGCUUUUAUUUGGUAAGCUAGACUCUAUUUGUCACAAUUGAGAAAUCAAUUGUCAAUUAUGUUUUACAAUAUGAAGGAAAAAAAUGAAAUAAAUUUGGAUUUUUAAGGCUC
Molecule: non-coding RNA, 4735 nt
Organism: Manis javanica (Malayan pangolin)
Lineage: Eukaryota; Metazoa; Chordata; Mammalia; Pholidota; Manidae
Source: RefSeq, a predicted model, not a curated record